GAUGAGUGAUGAGUGGUGUGUGAUGAGUGGUGUGUGAUGUGUGAUGAGUGGUGUGUGAUGAGUGGUGAGUGGUGUGUGAUGAGUGGUGAGUGGUGUGUGAUGAGUGGUGAGUGGUGUGUGAUGAGUGGUGUGUGAUGUGUGGUGUGUGAUGUGUGAUGAGUGGUGUGUGAUGUGUGAUGAGUGGUGUGUGAUGUGUGAUGAGUGGUGUGUGAUGAGUGAUGAGUGAUGAGUGGUGUGUGAUGAGUGGUGUGUGAUGAGUGGUGAGUAGUGUGCGAUGAGUGAUGAGUGGUGUGUGAUGAGUGGUGUGUGAUGUGUGAUGAGUGAUGAGUGGUGUGUGAUGAGUGGUGUGUGAUGAAUGGUGUGUGAUGAGUGAUGAGUGGUGUGUGAUGAGUGGUGUGUGAUGAAUGGUGUGUGAUGAGUGAUGAGUGGUGUGUGAUGAGCGGUGUGUGAUGAGUGAUGAGUGGUGUGUGAUGAGUGUUAUGUGGUGUGUGAUGAGUGGUGUGUGAUGAGUGAUGAUGGGUGUGUGAUGAGUGGUGAGUAGUGUGUGAUGAGUGGUGUGUGAUGUGUGAUGAGUGGUGUGUGAUGAGUGGUGAGUGUUUGUGAUGAGUGGUGAGUAGUGUGUGAUGAGUGGUGUGUGAUGAGUGGUGUGUGAUGAGUGGUGUGUGAUGAGUGAUGAGUGGUGUGUGAUGAGUGAUGAGUGGUGUGUGAUGAGUGGUGAGUGGUGUUGUGAUGAGUGGUGAGUAGUGUGUGAUGAGUGGUGUGUGAUAGUGAGAGAGAGAGAGUGAGAGAGAGAGGCAGAUAGAGAGAGACAGAGAGAGAGAGAUGUGAGGGAAAAGUGAAUAUAUAUUCUGUAAUCAGUUCCACAUGUGAGUCUCUCUCUGUCUCUCUCUCUCUCUGUCUCUCUCUCUCUCUGUCUCUCUCUCUCUCUCUCUCUCUCUCUCUGUCUCUCUCUCUCUCUGUCUCUCUCUCUCUCUGUCUCUCUCUCUCUCUCUCUCUCUCUCUGUCUCUCUCUCUCUCUGUCUCUCUCUCCUGAAAUCUCG
This is a long non-coding RNA of Ictalurus punctatus (channel catfish), 1040 nucleotides long. The record is from Ensembl. NCBI's taxonomy places the organism in Eukaryota, Metazoa, Chordata, Actinopteri, Siluriformes, Ictaluridae.